AACGAACGCUGGCGGCAUGCCUAACACAUGCAAGUCGAACGAGACCUUCGGGUCUAGUGGCGCACGGGUGCGUAACGCGUGGGAACCUGCCCUUAGGUUCGGAAUAACUCCCCGAAAGGGGUUCUAAUACCGGAUAAUGUCUUCGGACCAAAGAUUUAUCGCCUUUGGAUGGUCCCGCGUUGGAUUAGCUAGUUGGUAGGGUAAAAGCCUACCAAGGCGACGAUCCAUAGCUGGUCUGAGAGAAUGAUCAGCCACACUGGUACUGAGACACGGCCCAGACUCCUACGAGAGGCAGCAGUGGGGAAUAUUGGACAAUGGGCGAAAGCCUGAUCAAGAAAUGCAGCGUGAGUGAUGAAGGCCUUAGGGUUGUAAAGCUCUUUUACCCGGGAUGAUAAUGACAGUACCGGGAGAAUAAGCUCCGGCUAACUCCGUG
RNAcentral lists this ribosomal RNA (433 nucleotides) under uncultured bacterium. RNAcentral describes it as "partial 16S ribosomal RNA". It matches the Rfam family "Bacterial small subunit ribosomal RNA", at positions 29 to 507 of the family's 1533-position model. The record is from RNAcentral.